GUGCAGGGUACCAGGUAGUUGAGGUAAUAAUGAGACUAUAAGGAGUACCAGUACUGAGUCAAUGUGCAGGGUACCAGGUAGUUGAGGUAAUAAUGAGACUAUAAGGAGAACCAGUACUGAGUCAAUGUGCAGGGUACCAGGUAGUUGAGGUAAUAAUGAGACUAUAAGGAGAACCAGUACUGAGUCAAUGUGCAGGGUACCAGGUAGUUGAGGUAAUAAUGAGGCUAUAAGGAGUACCAGUACUGAGUCAAUGUGCAGGGUACCAGGUAGUUGAGGUAAUAAUGAGGCUAUAAGGAGUACCAGUACUGAGUCAAUGUGCAGGGUACCAGGUAGUUGAGGUAAUAAUGAGACUAUAAGGAGUACCAGUACUGAGUCAAUGUGCAGGGUACCAGGUAGUUGAGGUAAUAAUGAGACUAUAAGGAGUACCAGUACUGAGUCAAUGUGCAGGGUACCAGGUAGUUGAGGUAAUAAUGAGGCUAUAAGGAGUACCAGUACUGAGUCAAUGUGCAGGGUACCAGGUAGUUGAGGUAAUAAUGAGGCUAUAAGGAGUACCAGUACUGAGUCAAUGUGCAGGGUACCAGGUAGUUGAGGUAAUAAUGAGGCUAUAAGGAGUACCAGUACUGAGUCAAUGUGCAGGGUACCAGGUAGUUGAGGUAAUAAUGAGACUAUAAGGAGUACCAGUACUGAGUCAAUGUGCAGGGUACCAGGUAGUUGAGGUAAUAAUGAGACUAUAAGGAGUACCAGUACUGAGUCAAUGUGCAGGGUACCAGGUAGUUGAGGUAAUAUGUACAUGUAGGUCGGGGUAAAAGUGAGUAGGCAAUCAGGAUAGAGAUUACAUC
This is a long non-coding RNA of Oncorhynchus keta (chum salmon), 839 nucleotides long. RefSeq lists it as uncharacterized. The record is from RefSeq and is a predicted model, not a curated record. Lineage: Eukaryota; Metazoa; Chordata; Actinopteri; Salmoniformes; Salmonidae. The transcript is spliced from 4 exons.